CCGGAUAAUCGCGCCUAUAAGGUGAGGAAAGUCCGUGCAUCCAAGGACAGAUUGCCGGAGAAACUCCGGACGGUGUGAACCGGUGGACAGGGCCACAGAAAGAAUGCGUAAGCCGGUGUGAGUGCCGGAGUCGGCUCGCGAGAGCGAGACGAGCAGGGCACGAACACAAUAAUAGCGACGUAGAAAUCUUUGAUUUCACAGGAGCUAAAUGCGUAAGCCGGUGUGAGUGCCGGAGUCGGCUCGCGAGAGCGAGACGAGCAGGGCACGAACAUACGCAUACACAGCCGAUGGAUUUUUAAUCACAGGCGAAGGUGCAAUGGCGAGGUAAGAGCUCACCGACGGUAUUGAGAAAUAUCGGUCAGGUAACCCCCAAUCGGAUGCAAGAUUAACAGGAAGGUUAUAAAGGUGUCCGCCCACUUCCGAAAAAUCGCUAGAGAUUAGGAGUAAUCCUAAUACCAGACAGAUGAUUAUCUUGAAACAGAACACGGCUUAUGAGCUGCUUUGU
Molecule: RNase P RNA, 505 nt
Filed under: bovine gut metagenome
Description: Bacterial RNase P class A
Rfam family: Bacterial RNase P class A
About the family: Ribonuclease P (RNase P) is a ubiquitous endoribonuclease, found in archaea, bacteria and eukarya as well as chloroplasts and mitochondria.
Source: RNAcentral